AUGGCGGCGGUGAAGACCCUGAACCCCAAGGCUAAGGUGGCCCGGGAGCAGGCAGCGCUGGCGGUUAACAUCACCGCAGCACGGGGCCUGCAGGACGUGCUGAGGACCAACUUGGGGCCUAAGGGCACCAUGAAGAUGCUUGUUUCUGGUGCUGGAGACAUCAAGCUUACUGAAGAUGGGAACGUCCUGCUUCACGAAAUGCAAAUUCAACACCCAACAGCCUCUUUAAUAGCAAAAGUGGCCACUGCCCAGGUUGACAUAACUGGUGAUGGUACUACUUCUAAUGUCCUUAUCAUUGGGGAGCUGCUGAAACAGGCGGCCCUCUACAUCCCUGAGGGUCUUCAUCCCAGAAUAAUAACUGAAGGCUUUGAAGCUGCGAAGGAAAAGGCCCUCCAGUUUUUGGAACAAAUUAAAGCAAACAGAAAUGGACAGAGAAACACUUAUUGAUGUGGCCAGAACACCUCUAUGAACUAAAGUUCAUGCUGAACUUGCAGAUGUCUUAAUAGAGGCUGUAGUGGACUCUACUUUGGCUAUUAAGAAAAAAGAUUAGCCCAUUGACCUCUUUAUGGUUGAAAUCAUGGAGAUGAAGCAUAAGUCUGAAACUGAUACACGCUUAAUCCCAGGGCUAGUUUUGGAUCAUGGAGCACGGCAUCCUGAUAUGAAGAAAACAGUAGAAAAUGCAUACAUCCUCACAUGAAACGUGUCCUUAGAGUAUGAGAAAACAGAAGUGAAUUCUGGGUUUUUUUACAGGAGUGCAGAAGAGAGAGAAAAACUACUAAAAGCUGAACAAAAAUUCAUUGGAGACAGAUUUAAAAAAAAUAAUAGAAUUGAAGAAGAAAGUCUGUGGUGAUUCCGAUAAAGGAUUUGCUGUUAUUAAUCAAAAGGGAAUUGACCCCUUUUCCUUAAAUGCCCUUGCAAAAGAAGGCAUAGUAGCUCUGCGCAGAGAGAAGAGAAAUAUGGAGAGGCUGACUCUUGCUUGUGGUGGGUAGCUCUGAAUUCCUUUGAUGCCCUGAAUCCUGACUGUCUGGGACAUGCAGGACUUGUAUAUGAGUAUACACUGGGAGAAGAGAAGUUCAUCUUCACUGAGAAAUACAACAAUCCCUGUUUUGUCACAUUACUGGUCAAAGGACCAAAUAAGCACACACUGACUCAAAUCAAGGAUGCAAUAAGAGAUGGCUUGAGAGCUGUCAAAAAUGCUAUUGAUGAUGGUUGUGUUGUCCUGGGUACUGGUGCUAUAGAAAUGGCCAUGGCAGAAGCCCUGAUUAAAUACAAGCCCAGUGUGAAGGGCAGGGCUCAACUUGGAGUCCAGGCGUUUGCAGAUGUCUUGCUCAUUAUUCCCAAGGUUCUUGCCCAAAACUCUGGUUUUGACCUUCAGGAAACAUUAGUUAAAGUUCAAGCCGAACAUUCAGAAUCGGGUCAGCUUUUUGGUGUGGAUUUGAACACAGGUGAGCCAAUGGUGGAAGCAGAAGUAGGUGUAUGGGGUAACUAUUGUGUGAAGAAACAGCUUCUUCACUCCUGCACUGUGAUUGCCACCAACAUUCUCCUGGUAGAUGAACUCAUGAGAGCUGGAAUGUCCUCUCUGAAAGGCUGAACUGUCCCUUUUAUCUG
RNA transcript from Nannospalax galili (Upper Galilee mountains blind mole rat), 1608 nucleotides. It is a transcript of the gene named T-complex protein 1 subunit zeta pseudogene, with no coding region annotated. The record is from RefSeq and is a predicted model, not a curated record. NCBI's taxonomy places the organism in Eukaryota, Metazoa, Chordata, Mammalia, Rodentia, Spalacidae. The transcript has a single exon.